GAUGAACGCUGGCGGCGUGCUUAACACAUGCAAGUCGAACGGAAAGGCCAGUGCUUGCCCUGGUACUCGAGUGGCGAACGGGUGAGUAACACGUGGGUGAUCUGCCCUGCACUUCGGGAUAAGCCUGGGAAACUGGGUCUAAUACCGGAUAGGACAAUGGUUUGGAUGCCGUUGUGGAAAGUUUUUUCGGUGUGGGGUGAGCUCGCGGCCUAUCAGCUUGUUGGUGGGGUAAUGGCCUACCAAGGCGUCGACGGGUAGCCGGCCUGAGAGGGUGUACGGCCACAUUGGGACUGAGAUACGGCCCAGACUCCUACGGGAGGCAGCAGUGGGGAAUAUUGCACAAUGGGCGCAAGCCUGAUGCAGCGACGCCGCGUGGGGGAUGACGGCCUUCGGGUUGUAAACUCCUUUCGCUAGGGACGAAGCGUAUUUGUGACGGUACCUGGAGAAGAAGCACCGGCUAACUACGUG
Molecule: ribosomal RNA, 468 nt
Filed under: uncultured bacterium
Lineage: Bacteria
Description: partial 16S ribosomal RNA
Rfam family: Bacterial small subunit ribosomal RNA
Source: RNAcentral